CGACACACUAUCGUUAACUGAAUACAUAGGUUAACGAGGCGAACCGGGGGAACUGAAACAUCUAAGUACCCCGAGGAAAAGAAAUCAACCGAGAUUCCCCCAGUAGCGGCGAGCGAACGGGGAGCAGCCCGGAGUCUGAAUCAGCUUGUGUGUUAGUGGAACGGUCUGGAAAGUCCGACGGUACAGGGUGAUAGUCCCGUACACGAAAAUGCACAUGCUGUGAACUCGAAGAGUAGGGCGGGACACGUGGUAUCCUGUCUGAAUAUGGGGGGACCAUCCUCCAAGGCUAAAUACUCCUGACUGACCGAUAGUGAACCAGUACCGUGAGGGAAAGGCGAAAAGAACCCCGGCGAGGGGAGUGAAAAAGAACCUGAAACCGUGUACGUACAAGCAGUGGGAGCACCUUCGGGUGUGACUGCGUACCUUUUGUAUAAUGGGUCAGCGACUUAUAUUCUGUAGCAAGGUUAACCGUAUAGGGGAGCCGAAGGGAAACCGAGUCUUAACUGGGCGUUAAGUUGCAGGGUAUAGACCCGAAACCCGGUGAUCUAGCCAUGGGCAGGUUGAAGGUUGGGUAACACUAACUGGAGGACCGAACCGACUAAUGUUGAAAAAUUAGCGGAUGACCUGUGGCUGGGGGUGAAAGGCCAAUCAAACCGGGAGAUAGCUGGUUCUCCCCGAAAGCUAUUUAGGUAGCGCCUCGUGAACUCAUCUUCGGGGGUAGAGCACUGUUUCGGCUAGGGGGCCAUCCCGGCUUACCAACCCGAUGCAAACUACGAAUACCGAAGAAUGUUAUCACGGGAGACACACGGCGGGUGCUAACGUCCGUCGUGAAGAGGGAAACAACCCAGACCGCCAGCUAAGGUCCCAAAGUCAUGGUUAAGUGGGAAACGAUGUGGGAAGGCACAGACAGCCAGGAUGUUGGCUUAGAAGCAGCCAUCAUUUAAAGAAAGCGUAAUAGCUCACUGGUCGAGUCGGCCUGCGCGGAAGAUGUAACGGGGCUAAACCAUGCACCGAAGCUGCGGCAGCGACACUAUGUGUUGUUGGGUAGGGGAGCGUUCUGUAAGCCGUUGAAGGUGUGCUGUGAGGCAUGCUGGAGGUAUCAGAAGUGCGAAUGCUGACAUAAGUAACGAUAAAGCGGGUGAAAAGCCCGCUCGCCGGAAGACCAAGGGUUCCUGUCCAACGUUAAUCGGGGCAGGGUGAGUCGACCCCUAAGGCGAGGCCGAAAGGCGUAGUCGAUGGGAAACAGGUUAAUAUUCCUGUACUUGGUGUUACUGCGAAGGGGGGACGGAGAAGGCUAUGUCAGCCGGGCGACGGUUGUCCCGGUUUAAGCAUGUAGGCGGAGGUUCCAGGUAAAUCCGGUACCUUGUUAACGCUGAGGUGUGAUGACGAGGCACUACGGUGCUGAAGUGAUAAAUGCCCUGCUUCCAGGAAAAGCCUCUAAGC
This 1443-nucleotide ribosomal RNA is filed under the name Enterobacter hormaechei subsp. oharae. RNAcentral describes it as "bacterial LSU rRNA". It matches the Rfam family "Bacterial large subunit ribosomal RNA", at positions 141 to 1629 of the family's 2925-position model. The record is from RNAcentral. Lineage: Bacteria; Pseudomonadati; Pseudomonadota; Gammaproteobacteria; Enterobacterales; Enterobacteriaceae.